This is a long non-coding RNA of Haplochromis burtoni (Burton's mouthbrooder), 438 nucleotides long. RefSeq lists it as uncharacterized. NCBI's taxonomy places the organism in Eukaryota, Metazoa, Chordata, Actinopteri, Cichliformes, Cichlidae. The record is from RefSeq and is a predicted model, not a curated record. The transcript is spliced from 2 exons.
AUAAUUGGACUUGGAUCGAUGGAACAAAUUUCAGAUAUACAAACUGGUGUCAUGGAAAACCGAGCAAUAAUUAUGGCCAGUGCCUGGAGAUGAAUUUUUCAGCAAAAAAGUGUUGGAAUGGUGUGUUCUGUUCCUGCCUCCGCCCAUCUGUCUGCGUCAAGAAAAUCUGGUGAUUCCUGACCUCAUACAAAGGCAUGGAGUACCUGGCAAAGAAGCAAACUGUCUCAUAUAUCCCCCAAAGAGUCCGCUUCUCAUUUUACAUCUUUGCUUCAGUUCUUUUGCAGUGAUGCUGAAAAAAAAUGCAAAUAAAAUGACAGAAAAUGUAGUUUUUCACUUUCAGGAAUGUGUAAUGGAAAUGCUGCUUUUAGCAAAGGUUCAAGUACAAAAAUGAACUGUUCUUUCUGGCUUGUCUGUAUCAUUAAAAUCUUAAGCACUGAA